RNAcentral lists this ribosomal RNA (427 nucleotides) under uncultured bacterium. Its description in RNAcentral is "partial 16S ribosomal RNA". It matches the Rfam family "Bacterial small subunit ribosomal RNA", at positions 355 to 774 of the family's 1533-position model. The record is from RNAcentral.
UGGGGAAUAUUGGACAAUGGGCGAAAGCCUGAUCCAGCCAUGCCGCGUGUGUGAAGAAGGUCUUCGGAUUGUAAAGCACUUUAAGUUGGGAGGAAGGGCAUUAACCUAAUACGUUAGUGUUUUGACGUUACCGACAGAAUAAGCACCGGCUAACUCUGUGCCAGCAGCCGCGGUAAUACAGAGGGUGCAAGCGUUAAUCGGCAUUACUGGGCGUAAAGCGCGCGUAGGUGGUUUGUUAAGUUGGAUGUGAAAGCCCCGGGCUCAACCUGGGAACUGCAUCCAAAACUGGCAAGCUAGAGUACGGUAGAGGGUGGUGGAAUUUCCUGUGUAGCGGUGAAAUGCGUAGAUAUAGGAAGGAACACCAGUGGCGAAGGCGACCACCUGGACUGAUACUGACACUGAGGUGCGAAAGCGUGGGGAGCAAACA